GAGUCAACAUAGCAAUAUGUGGCAUACGGCUCAGUAACACGUAGUCAACAUGCCCAGGGGACGUGGAUAACCUCGGGAAACUGAGGAUAAACCGCGAUAGGUCAUCACUUCUGGAAUGGGUAAUGACUUAAAUCUAUAUGGCCCCUGGAUUGGACUGCGGCCGAUCAGGCUGUUGGUGAGGUAAUGGCCCACCAAACCUGUAACCGGUACGGGCUCUGAGAGGAGGAGCCCGGAGAUGGGCACUGAGACAAGGGCCCAGGCCCUAUGGGGCGCAGCAGGCGCGAAACCUCUGCAAUAGGCGAAAGCUUGACAGGGUUACUCUGAGUGAUUUCCGUUAAGGAGAUCUUUUGGCACCUCUAAAAAUGGUGCAGAAUAAGGGGUGGGCAAGUCUGGUGUCAGCCGCCGCGGUAAUACCAGCACCCCGAGUGGUCGGGACGUUUAUUGGGCCUAAAGCAUCCGUAGCCGGUUCUACAAGUCUUCCGUUAAAUCCACCUGCUUAACAGAUGGGCUGCGGAAGAUACUAUAGAGCUAGGAGGCGGGAGAGGCAAGCGGUACUCGAUGGGUAGGGGUAAAAUCCGUUGAUCCAUUGAAGACUACCAGUGGCGAAGGCGGCUUGCCAGAACGCGCUCGACGGUGAGGGAUGAAAGCUGGGGGAGCAAACCGGAUUAGAUACCCGGGUAGUCCCAGCUGUAAACGAUGCAGACUCGGUGAUGAGUUGGCUUAUUGCUAACUCAGUGCCGCAGGGAAGCCGUUAAGUUUGCCGCCUGGGGAGUACGGUCGCAAGACUGAAACUAAAGGAAUUGG
RNAcentral lists this ribosomal RNA (804 nucleotides) under uncultured archaeon. RNAcentral's name for it is "bacterial SSU rRNA". It matches the Rfam family "Archaeal small subunit ribosomal RNA", at positions 55 to 868 of the family's 1478-position model. The record is from RNAcentral.